CCUACGGGGAGCAGCAGUGAGGAAUAUUGGUCAAUGGACGAGAGUCUGAACCAGCCAAGUAGCGUGAAGGAUGACUGCCCUAUGGGUUGUAAACUUCUUUUAUAAAGGAAUAAAACGAGGCACGUGUGCCUUUUUGCAUGUAUCUUAUGAAUAAGGAUCGGCUAACUCCGUGCCAGCAGCCGCGGUAAUACGGAGGAUCCGAGCGUUAUCCGGAUUUAUUGGGUUUAAAGGGAGCGUAGAUGGGUUGUUAAGUUAGUUGUGAAAGUUUGCGGCUCAACCGUAAAAUUGCAAUUGAUACUGGCAGUCUAGAGUACAGUUGAGGUAGGCGGAAUUCGUGGUGUAGCGGUGAAAUGCUUAGAGAUCACGAAGAACACCGAUUGCGAAGGCAGCUUACUAAACUGUGACUGACAUUGAUGCUCGAAAGUGUGGGUAUCAAACAGGAUUAGAUACCCUUGUAGUC
This 460-nucleotide ribosomal RNA is filed under the name uncultured bacterium. RNAcentral describes it as "partial 16S ribosomal RNA". It matches the Rfam family "Bacterial small subunit ribosomal RNA", at positions 338 to 795 of the family's 1533-position model. The record is from RNAcentral.